Molecule: long non-coding RNA, 819 nt
Filed under: Ananas comosus (pineapple)
Lineage: Eukaryota; Viridiplantae; Streptophyta; Magnoliopsida; Poales; Bromeliaceae
Description: long non-coding RNA (ACOM_LNC026308)
Source: RNAcentral
UAUUUAAUCUCAACCAAUUAGCAUCUUAAUAUUAUGAACAAUACUACAUAUAUAUAUAUAUAUACUGCAAACUUGAUAUAAAUUAUAUAUCUCACCCUAAAUAUAAGUAAGUGUUACUGUAAUAAAAGUGUCAUGGCACUUAAUGUAUCCACUCAAGAGGUGCGAAACGCAUGAGUAGUUCGGCGAAUCGGAAACAAAUAUAAAAUUUUUAAAAUUUGGAUGAUUACUCAUAAACAGAUAAAAAAUAAGAUAAUUUUAGUACAUUUAAUUCUAAUUAUAAAUAAAAUACAUGUUUUAUUCUAAGCAAGCGUUUUUCUAAUAAAAGUGUCACGCCACUUUGCAUAUAUAUAUAUGCUAAAGAUGUGGGAACCUCGUGAGUGGUUCAAUGAACCGACAAAAAUAAAAAAAAAAAAUAAAUUUUAAAUAGCUAUUUAUAUUUAAAUAAUAGUAAAUUUAGAAUUUUUUAGCUAAAAAUAUAGAAAAUUAUUUUAUAAAUAUUUUUUUUUCAUUUUUUUUCUCCUAACUUUAAAUAACUUUAAAAACCUACCUUUUACUCCCCACGAUAUCAGUGGAGAUAACAAAAUGAUAAAAUUAUUCUCAUUUUUCCUGUAAAUUUUUUUUUUUGUAUAUUUCUGUUAUUUUGAAGAAUAUUUCCGGUAUAAAUUAUAUGAAAUGGACGAAAUAAUGAUAGAACCAUGACAGAGGGGGGGCUAAAUGCAACACCUUGAAAUGUUGAGAGCUAAAUAUGAAUUUUUGAAUGUUAGAGAAGGAAAAUAAAAAAUUAGAUAUUUAUAAUUUUUUUUUUCUAUUUUGACAUAU